UUGUUUGCAGGCGCAGUCAACAGCAGUGGAAGAGCUGGCUCAUGUGUGGCUCAGGCUGACUCCACAAUCAGUAGUUUUGCAGAGGCAAGAAAUAGAAGUUAAGGAAGAGAAGAAGCCAAUCUUGAAUCAGUUAGAAUUUCCUUGGACAUAGAAAAUCUCUACAAGCAAAAACCCAUUUGAUUGAACAAGCAAGCUUAUGCAGUUAAAUAUAUCAAAGAUCUUGUCACAAAAAGUGUAAAGGGAAAGUAAAAUAAGGAGGGAGCAUGAAGAAGCCAGCUUAUAUUAAAGAUUCAAAGCAGGGAUAUAAGGAAAUUCAAGCCAAAAAUAAGGAAGAAUUCUUAUAAAUGCCCCAAGAAUGAAUUCGAUGUUUGGUCGAUAUUCCAACAGAUUUAGUAAUGCUAUUUUUAAAGUCAACAGGCUGCCCAUUUUUGCCUCACACUGCCAUGGAGUUAUGGCAAGCAUCUUGUCUUCAAUUUUAGCCCCUCCUCCAUCCCUCUCCCAGACACCCAUUGUCCUCUUUCUCACCACAUCCACCCCCUUUUUUGUCCUGUCUUUGGUGCACUAUUUAUAAUUCUUCUCAUGUCUACCACAACUAUUUUGGGUAGUAAGAACAUCAGUAUGGAGACCCCUUAAUCCUAACUAAUAUCAACUCUAUCUGUUUGGUAUUAAUUCUUGUUUAUUGAACUUGAGGCAUUGAGUACUACAAAAAUUAUAAUACACUACUGGUGAACAUUACUUUAUUAAUGAUUAGGUUCCACUUGGAUGUUUGUCAUUCGUAUGUAGCUGUUCUCUCCUUGUAGCCUGUAAACUUUCUAUGGAUGUCACAAAAAGAGUUUUAAGGAUUUUGCUUAAAUUAAAAUUAAUACAUCAAGAAAAUACUAUGCCUCAAACAAAAAAUAAUCAGUUAAUUUAGUUUUUAGAAAUCUUUUACAAAGAUACAAUAUCAGUUUCGAUGAGAUUCAUGCUGCACGGAUGGUUACACCUGUCACCUGUGGGUGGGUAAUCUUAAUACCUGUGAUGACAAGUAGACCACGGGGGAGGACUCGCAAAGGAUUUGAGUGAGGAGCCACUGAUGCUGUGUAAAUGCCAGAGCCGUGACCGUGCACUUU
RNAcentral lists this long non-coding RNA (1109 nucleotides) under Homo sapiens (human). Its description in RNAcentral is "HSALNT0206303". Lineage: Eukaryota; Metazoa; Chordata; Mammalia; Primates; Hominidae. The record is from RNAcentral.